ACAUGCAAGUCGAGGGGCAGCGGGUGUAGCAAUACAUGCCGGCGACCGGCGCAAGGGUGCGUAACGCGUGAGCAAUCUGCCCGUAUCAGGGGGAUAAGCGAUGGAAACGUCGUCUAAUACCGCAUAACACCAAUGAUGGCAUCAUCGAUGGUUGAAAGCUUCGGUGGAUACGGAUGAGCUCGCGAGACAUUAGUUAGUUGGCGGGGUAACGGCCCACCAAGACCGCGAUGUCUAGGGGAACUGAGAGGUUGGUCCCCCACACUGGAACUGAGACACGGUCCAGACUCCUACGGGAGGCAGCAGUGAGGAAUAUUGGACAAUGGCCGGAAGGCUGAUCCAGCCAUGCCGCGUGAAGGAAUAAGGUCCUAUGGAUUGUAAACUUCUUUUGUACGAGAGCAAUAAGUGUCACGAGUGACACGAUGAGAGUAUCGUACGAAUAAGCAUCGGCUAACUCCGUGCCAGCAGCCGCGGUAAUACGGAAGGUCCGGGCGUUAUCCGGAUUUAUUGGGUUUAAAGGGAGCGCAGGCCGGAGGUCAAGCGUGACGUGAAAUGUAGCCGCUCAACGGCUGAACUGCGUCGCGAACUGGCUUUCUUGAGUGAGUUCGAUGUGGGCGGAAUUCGUGGUGUAGCGGUGAAAUGCUUAGAUAUCACGAAGAACUCCGAUUGCGAAGGCAGCCCACAAGGCCUUUACUGACGCUAAAGCUCGAAGGUGCGGGUAUCGAACAGGAUUAGAUACCCUGGUAGUCCGCACGGUAAACGAUGGAUGCCCGCUGUUUGCGAUAUACUGUGAGCGGCCAAGAGAAAUCGUUAAGCAUCCCACCUGGGGAGUACGCCGGCAACGGUGAAACUCAAAGGAAUUGACGGGGGCCCGCACAAGCGGAGGAACAUGUGGUUUAAUUCGAUGAUACGCGAGGAACCUUACCCGGGCUUGAACUGCAGGAGAAGGAUACAGAGAUGUUGACGCCCUUCGGGGCUCCUGUGGAGGUGCUGCAUGGUUGUCGUCAGCUCGUGCCGUGAGGUGUCGGCUUAAGUGCCAUAACGAGCGCAACCCUUUUCUUCAGUUGCCAUCAGGUGAUGCUGGGCACUCUGGAGACACUGCCACCGUAAGGUGUGAGGAAGGUGGGGAUGACGUCAAAUCAGCACGGCCCUUACGUCCGGGGCUACACACGUGUUACAAUGGGUGGUACAGAGAGUCGGUCGUCUGCAAAUGCGAUCCAAUCCUUAAAGCCAUCCUCAGUUCGGAUUGGGGUCUGCAACCCGACCCCAUGAAGCUGGAUUCGCUAGUAAUCGCGCAUCAGCCAUGGCGCGGUGAAUACGUUCCCGGGCCUUGUACUCACCGCCCGUCAAG
This 1348-nucleotide ribosomal RNA is filed under the name uncultured bacterium. RNAcentral's name for it is "bacterial SSU rRNA". It matches the Rfam family "Bacterial small subunit ribosomal RNA", at positions 53 to 1401 of the family's 1533-position model. The record is from RNAcentral.